Long non-coding RNA from Lotus japonicus, 1535 nucleotides. RefSeq lists it as uncharacterized. The record is from RefSeq and is a predicted model, not a curated record. Lineage: Eukaryota; Viridiplantae; Streptophyta; Magnoliopsida; Fabales; Fabaceae. The transcript is spliced from 7 exons.
UCCUUCAACAAUUUAUUCCAAUAUCUAUGAGAGUUGGGUAUUGAUAUUUUUGUAAAAAAGUCAUUUUAUUUCACUCAGGUUUGAUCUCAGCCGUUCAUUCAUAUCAAUUUCAUUCCUUCUUUCAUUCAAUGGAUUUAUUAAAUUAGUGAAACGCUUUUCAGUUUCAAAACUGUAAACAGACGCUUCCUCUUUCACCUUACCUUCUUCCUUUUCUCCUUCUCUCAGCCGUUUCUAGGUUUCAAGUCGUUUAAAACCUUCUCUCGACACACUGCUUUUCCGUGUCUGCCUCUGAUUUCAGCACCUCCUCGACACCCUCCCUCGCCCUUCCACCGCCGUCUGGAAAACCUUCAUCAUGGGCUUCAUCUGCGACCAGAUUGCUGAGGUUUGGCAAUCAGGUUUGAACGAUGAUGUGUUCUGCUCUUUGUCAAUUCAUUUUCAUUUUUCCGUUCAGAACCUAUUUGAUUAGGUCUUCAAGGGAUUCCUUCCGAUGAGAACGACGAUCUGCACCCAAAAGUUAUGAAUUGUCGUUCUGCUUACCCAUAGAGAGAGGGAGAGUGGGCGAUAGAGCGACGGUGGCAACAGUCCACCAAGACUCUGCUCUCACCGAAGGAAGCCGUGGUUUGCUUGAUUUGGCUUUUAUUUUCAUAUUUAAGAUUAGUAUGACCCAAUUGGCAACCAGCAAGAAGAAUUAAGAAGAAGCACCUAACUUUGUGUAACCAUGCUUCACCUAUACCUCAGUGGUGAUUAUCAAGCCUCUGCCAUGUACUUUUGUUGAAUGUUGAUACAUAAACUACUUCUAAAAGUUCCAAAGUGGGUAUGGUCCCUCAAUUGAAAGUUGAAAGUGCAUCUCCUACAACGGGCUGUUCAGUGCACAUUGUAUAGUUCCUUGGCAUGCAGUGAUGAAUUGCAAGGAAUGCCUCAAGUCUGAAAGGAAAGGUGAAAAAGAUUCAAAUAGAAGUGGUUGUUCUUGCUUCCUCCAUUUUCUCUUUACAGGUUGGAUGCAACUUCUGCUACAACAGUGGGAAGGAUUGAAGGCAUGGACAUAUAUGUGACAAACCUUAGUCCACAUUAGACUUCACAUGUAUCAUUGGAAGUCCUACCAUUCAAAAUUAGAUUUUAUUUUGAAUUACUCAAUUGCAUUGGGGGUGAUGAGAUUUGAAGUUUUCUUUUGGCAAAAGAGUGAUAAGGGGAAAGCUCGCAAUGGAUAUAGCCAUGAAGGGGAUAUAUAUAUAUAUAGAGAGAGAGAGACACACAAAGUAAUUAUGUUCUGUGAAUUCUGCAAAAUGCUGAAUUUUGUAGAAGGAAUUUGCUUUUGGUCUAGGGUAAUGUUCAUGAACUUCAUCUGACACUAAAGUUAGUGUUUGGAUCUUCCAUACAUUGAUGUUUUUUUUUUUGAUAUAUUUUUUGGGUUUGUUGUCAUUUUGGUUCAGUAUUUUUAAGAUGACAUUGACAUUGGGCAUACUGUUUUUUUGUUCCAUAAUGAACUCUUUGACUUUUGGUGGUUGUCUUUUGUGCUUCUAAUAGUUAUUUUUUAA